GGUGAGGUGUCCGAGUCCGGUCGAAGGAGCACGAUUGGAAAUCGUGUGUACCUUAACAGGGUACCGAGAGUUCGAAUCUCUCCCUCACCGCCA
RNAcentral lists this transfer RNA (93 nucleotides) under Halodesulfovibrio sp. RNAcentral's name for it is "tRNA-Ser". It matches the Rfam family "tRNA". From Rfam's summary of the family: Transfer RNA (tRNA) molecules are approximately 80 nucleotides in length. Their secondary structure includes four short double-helical elements and three loops (D, anti-codon, and T loops). Lineage: Bacteria; Pseudomonadati; Thermodesulfobacteriota; Desulfovibrionia; Desulfovibrionales; Desulfovibrionaceae. The record is from RNAcentral. RNAcentral also lists the same sequence under 2 other names.